GAUUUUGGAGGCUUGCAGGCUUUUCAAAAGUCAGCUCCUCUUAAAAACAUUAGCAGAAGUCCUUUUGGUUAAUUCUGGUGUGAUAAUUAUCUACGCCGCAAUUGAUCAUUCUAAGACGCUUUGCUUCUAACCGUCCUUUUAAAUGGACAACUUUUGAACAAUUUGACCUCAAAUCAGGUAGGACUACCCGCUGAACUUAA
This 200-nucleotide unclassified non-coding RNA is filed under the name soil metagenome. RNAcentral describes it as "partial contains internal transcribed spacer 2 and large subunit ribosomal RNA". The record is from RNAcentral.